Molecule: RNA transcript, 1833 nt
Organism: Elaeis guineensis (African oil palm)
Lineage: Eukaryota; Viridiplantae; Streptophyta; Magnoliopsida; Arecales; Arecaceae
Gene name: transcription termination factor MTERF8, chloroplastic
Source: RefSeq, a predicted model, not a curated record
UCCAGCCGGUCCAAAACCUGCUCGCCAGGAACGAACCGUAUUUUAGGGCUCCGGCGCGGUACGGUUGCUUGCCUUCCAAUGCUGCUGCCCGAGCUCUCCUCCUCCCUCCGCCGCAACAGCGCCAAUGCCUUCGUUGCCUUCUACCAUGGCCGCCGCCGCCGCCUCCUCGGAGACGUCCUCUGCCUUUUCUCCUCAACCGGCACCGCCGCGACACCGAAACCGCAUUUCAUGGUCGACUACCUCGUCGACUUUUGUGGGUUCUCGCCGGAGAAGGCCGUCAGAGACUUGAAGCACGUCCGCUCCAUCAAAUCCCCCCAACAGCCCAACUCCGUCUUGGAUUUCUUCAAAAGACACGGUUUUGAUGACCCCCAGAUCAAAAAGCUCAUAUCCUGGCAUCCCAGAUGGCUCUCCCUGGAUGUGGAGAAGAGCCUGGCCCCCAGGUUCCGAGCUUUACGGGAUCUCGGCUUCUCCCAGUCCGACAUCAUCCACAUCACGCUCUCAAACGCCUCCAUCCUCCAUCUCAGGCUCGACACCAAGCUCCUCCCCAAGAUCGAGUUGUGGAGGAGUCUCCUCGGAUCGAACGACGUCCUGAUGAAAUUCAUCAAGAGGGGACUGCGGCUUCUCUGUUGCAGCAUGGAAAAGUGUGUCCUUCCCAACCUAUCAGUCUUGCGGGACUGCGGUAUUCCAGAGAGCAAGAUCUCUGUCAUCGUGAAGCAGCAUCCAGCGGUCGUCGUGCAAAGGCCGGCUUCGCUCCAGGCUUUGAUUGAUCGCACCGAGGGGCUUGGGAUACCCCGCCACUCAGGCAUGUUUGGCUGGGCCCUUCGUGUCCUCUGCAGCGUGAACGAAGCCAAGUUCAAGGCAAAGAUGGAGUUCAUGAGAACCUUGGGCUGGUCAGAGUCGGAGUUCCUCUUUGCUUUCCGUACGACACCCUCAAUCUUAGGCGCUUCUAAGAAGUCGCUGCAGAAAAAGAUGGAGUUUUGGGUGAAGGAAGCUGGUUGCCACCCGUCCUACCUCGCGCACCAUUCAGUGCUCCUGAUGUGUAGUUUAGAGAACAGGUUGAUCCCUCGGUAUCGUGUGAUGGAGAUUCUGAAAUCAAAAGGAUUAUGCAGUGAUGAUUGCAAUCUGUAUACCAUUAUGUGUCUCUCCGAGGAGAAUUUUCUAAAGAAAUUUAUUCUCCGCCACAAGGAGGAAGUCCCUGAACUUUGUGAAAUGUAUGCUCCUUGCUGCAAUAGAAGCGGAACCCGCUAAGCCAUGCAAUUUCACAAACUCAGGUACAACUUUUGCUCCAUUGAUGGUUUGAUGAUCAGUGAUUCUUUCUGCGGCAUUUUUGAGAGAAGUGGUUUAACGUCAAUAUUAGCAAAUGGUACAUAGCAUGCCUCCUAUGAGGCAAGAACCUGAAGCCAACUCAGCGCGGUUGUUUGCGUAACGGAACUUACCAAUCUCCUUUGUCAGUGGUCCAUACUUGUUGAAGCCAUUUAUCCUCGAGGAGUUCCCAGAACUUAGCACAUGUAUUUUUUGGUGCAAACGUGGCCCCAGAAGAUUUGAAUUCAGGAUUUUUUUUGUAUCAUUUGUCAUUUUUCCAUUGCAAGUUAAAUUUUCUCUCUUGUGAGACCAUCAGGACUGGCCGUAUUGCAGCCCAUAUAGUUGCAAUGUGUUGAUAUGUCACUCCAAAUUUGCUGAUCUUAUAAAGGUCUGUACCCAGGUGCGCAAUUCUGUGUACGUAUUUUCUGCUGGAAACUAUAGCUGCUAUACGUGAGCCAUUGCAUAACCUUGUACUGCAUCAUUAUGCUCUGUUGUAAUUCUCGGCUGCUGUGAUGUAUGUUCAGUAUUUCA